AGUAAAAGUCGUAACAAGGUUUCCGUAGGGGAACCUGCGGAAGGAUCACUAGUGAUUAAACUGAGAUCGCACUAGGCUUAAAAACCCUAAGGCGUCUCAACCCUUCACAUCCACAUACACCUGUGCACUGUUAUGGUUGUAGAUCGUUAAUCGCGAGCCUUUUGGUAACGAAAGGUCAGCUUUUAAUGAACUCGCCAUCAUUUUUAUACAAUAACUCAAGUCUUAUGAAUGUAAACGUUUUAUAAUAAACUAAUAAAACUUUCAACAACGGAUCUCUUGGCUCUCGCAUCGAUGAAGAACGCAGCGAAAUGCGAUAAGUAAUGUGAAUUGCAGAAUUCAGUGAAUCAUCGAAUCUUUGAACGCACCUUGCGCUCCUUGGUAUUCCGAGGAGCAUGCCUGUUUGAGUGUCAUGAAACUCUCAAUCUUAACUAUUUUUUCACGAAGGUAGUUUUGUAUUGGACUUGAGCGCUGCUGGUCUAAUCGAUCGGCUCGUUCGAAAUAUAUUAGCUGGACCCUUAUUGAACUUGGUUCCACUUGACGUGAUAAGUAUUUCGUCAAGGACAUCUUUAUUGAUGGCCAUAAUCAAUCUGUUGAUCUGCUUCUAAUCGUCUUUACUUUAUCGUAAACACCUUUUAUGAUCUGGCCUCAAAUCAGGUAGGACUACCCGCUGAACUUAAGCAUAUCAAUAAGCGGAGGA
RNAcentral lists this ribosomal RNA (697 nucleotides) under uncultured fungus. Its description in RNAcentral is "eukaryotic LSU rRNA". The stretch from base 257 to 410 matches the Rfam family "5.8S ribosomal RNA". The record is from RNAcentral. Lineage: Eukaryota; Fungi.